This 1976-nucleotide long non-coding RNA is filed under the name Podarcis lilfordi (Lilford's wall lizard). Lineage: Eukaryota; Metazoa; Chordata; Lepidosauria; Squamata; Lacertidae. The record is from RNAcentral.
CUUUUUGCAGUAUGGUAGCGCUGCAGAGAGCUUGCUGGGGAGACCAUGCAUUAAAAAGGGACUCAAAAAUAAUUUAAACAAGGUUUUAAUAAGAAAAACAAAAACUCCUUUUACACUAAAUACAUUAACAAACAAACAUGACCCAACCACCAACCCAUCCCCCAGGGUAAUGGGAGAGCUAGGUGCUGCUCCUUAUAUACUACACCCAAUUGCCAACACAGCUUAAUCAGUACAACUCGGCAGCACCUGCUAUGUUUCACAGCUGUAACGCUGGGUCUCGUUAUCUUGCUCUGGCCCUUGCUUUGGCCCCUUAAAGACAUACACAUCGGGUGGAACAAUGAUGAACCUUUACAUAUUAAAACCAUUCAACAUUUCCCCUGCGGUUCAUCAUUGUGGAACAAAAACAUAAAGCAUACUUUGUACAUGUUUUUCAUGUAUACCUUUUGGAAGUGCUUUAGUAAAAAUGUCUGCAAUUUGAUUGUCACCUGGAACAUAUUUAAAUACAACCAUUUCAUCAGCAAUUAGUUUCUUUACAAACUGUAAACGUAAUCUUAAGACUUUAGUGCGCUGCGUAUUGGUUUCUGAACAUAGGAUAGCGAGUCCACUCUGGGAAUCAAGGUAAACUUUUACUGGUAGUGUUACUUGCAUCUGUAGGUCUGCGAAUACUUGCAGAUACCAUUCCACAUCACGAGUGGCCUGAACACAUGCACAUAAUUCACUCUCUGUUGUGGAGAGACAAAUAAUGGUUUGUGUCUGGGACUUCCAUUCAAAUGGACAACCAUUAUAACAAAACACCAUACCAGACACACCCCUGCAAUUAUUUUGUUCCACUGCAUGAGAUGCAUCACAGAAAAUUUCAAAACCUUUGUCAAUACAUGUUGUAAACUGCAACCUAUAAUGUUUGGUAUGUUUAAGGUACAUUACCACUCUCUUAAGAGCAGAGAAACAUUGUGUAGUGGGCUUUUCCACAAAUUUUGCCAGAAAGUGAAAGGCAUAAGUUAUAUCUGGUCUUGAGAUUCUUUGAAUGAAAUUUAGCUUGCCUAUAGCAGAACGAUACAAAGUUUUGUUAGGAAAUGGCUUAUCUUCACCUGUAAAAGUGAAACCACACACCAUGGGCGUUUCCUUCCCAUUUGCAUUUUCUAAACAUAGCAUUUCAACAAGAUCAUCAAUUUUUGCAGUUUGAUGAACCAGAAAAGAUCCAUUUUUGCCUUUCUCAAUUUGCAUGGAUAAGUAAUUUUUAGCUAUGCCUAAUUCCACCACAUCAAAUUUCUUCUGUAACUGUGUUACUACCUGUUCAUAUUCCUGUUUAGUUUUUGUAGAAAUUAACACGUCAUCUACAUAGACACAUAUUUUUGCUACAGAGUUUGCCCUUUCCUUUAUAAACACACAAUUGUCUGCCUUUCCCUGUGAAAAACCAAUAUCCAGCAAUUCUUUUGCUAAAGUUUGGUGCCAAUUCCUUCCACUUUGGUGCAGACCAUAAAGGGAUUUAUUUAAUUUGCAUACCAAACCUUCAGCGGCGUCUAUGCCUUCAGGGACACGCAUAAAAAUUUGUUCUUUUAAAUCUGCAAACAAAUAUGCAGUUUUUAUAUCUAGGUGAUAAACAGAAUGUCCACGUUGUGAUGCAUCUUUUAACAAAAGCUUAACUGUUUCAUAUUUUACACUUGGUGAAUAACACAAAUCAUAAUCUUCGCCUGGAAUUUGUUGAAAACCCCUAGCAACUAAUCUUGCCUUGUACCUUACAACUUCAUUUUUGUCAUUCAUUUUAACUCUAUAAACCCAUUUUGAAUCAAUAAGUCUCAUAUCUGGGGUUUGUGGUACAAGAGACCAAGUGUUAUGCUCUUUUAAAGAAGCUAUUUCAGAGUUCAUAGCUUUAUACCAAUUUACAGCUUGGUGCUUAGGUAAAUUCUGAACAUCAUUGUAGCUUUUGGCUCAAAAACUGCCUUAUUGGCAUACACAGUAUUAAAAUGUUCAUCUGC